RNAcentral lists this long non-coding RNA (205 nucleotides) under Elaeis guineensis (African oil palm). Its description in RNAcentral is "long non-coding RNA (EGUI_LNC014385)". Lineage: Eukaryota; Viridiplantae; Streptophyta; Magnoliopsida; Arecales; Arecaceae. The record is from RNAcentral.
UAUUUAGAGAAGCAGAGUUUCAGCUCUCAAGAGUCCUUACCAAAUACUGUUCAUUUAUCUUCUUUUAUAGAUGAGUAGUUGGUAACCGUUUGUAAUGGUUAGACACGUGGAUCCCACUUAUCUUGAUAUUAUGUGAUCGUGGGAUGGAUGGUUAUAUCUGCCACUGAUCAUGUUCUGUCUAUUAUGCGCUUUCUGCGUUAGUGGU